AACGGCCAUACCAUGCUGAAUAUACCGGUUCUCGUUAGAUCACCGAAGUCAAGCAUCAUUGGGCGCGGUCAGUAUUUGGGUGGGUGACCACCUGGGAACACCGCGUGCCGUU
Molecule: ribosomal RNA, 112 nt
Filed under: Caerostris extrusa
Lineage: Eukaryota; Metazoa; Arthropoda; Arachnida; Araneae; Araneidae
Also listed under: 1 other name
Source: RNAcentral